GACGAACGCUGGCGGCGUGCUUAACACAUGCAAGUCGAACGGAAAGGCCCUUCGGGGUACUCGAGUGGCGAACGGGUGAGUAACACGUGGGUGAUCUGCCCUGCACUUUGGGAUAAGCCUGGGAAACUGGGUCUAAUACCGAAUAUGAUCAUCGGCUUCAUGGUCGGUGGUGGAAAGCUUUUGCGGUGUGGGAUGGGCCCGCGGCCUAUCAGCUUGUUGGUGGGGUAAUGGCCUACCAAGGCGACGACGGGUAGCCGGCCUGAGAGGGUGACCGGCCACACUGGGACUGAGAUACGGCCCAGACUCCUACGGGAGGCAGCAGUGGGGAAUAUUGCACAAUGGGCGCAAGCCUGAUGCAGCGACGCCGCGUGAGGGAUGACGGCCUUCGGGUUGUAAUCCUCUUUCAGCACAGACGAAGCGCAAGUGACGGUAUGUGCAGAAGAAGGACCGGCCAACUACGUG
RNAcentral lists this ribosomal RNA (462 nucleotides) under uncultured bacterium. RNAcentral's name for it is "partial 16S ribosomal RNA". It matches the Rfam family "Bacterial small subunit ribosomal RNA", at positions 28 to 507 of the family's 1533-position model. The record is from RNAcentral.